UACGGAGGGUGCAAACGUUGCUCGGAAUCAUUGGGCGUAAAGAGCGUGUAGGCGGCUUGGUAAGUCCGCUGUCAAAGCCCGGGGCUCAACCCCGGAAGGUCGGUGGAGACUGGUUUUCUUGAAGCUGCCAGGGGGAGAUGGAAUUACCGGUGUAGCGGUGAAAUGCGUAGAUAUCGGUAGGAACACCAGUGGCGAAGGCGGUCUCCUGGAGCAGACUUGACGCUGAGGCGCGAAAGCUGGGGGAGCGAACGGG
Molecule: ribosomal RNA, 253 nt
Filed under: uncultured bacterium
Lineage: Bacteria
Description: partial 16S ribosomal RNA
Rfam family: Bacterial small subunit ribosomal RNA
Source: RNAcentral